CCUACGGGAGACUGCAGUGAGGAAUAUUGGUCAAUGGGCGGGAGCCUGAACCAGCCAAGCCGCGUGAGGGAAGAAGGUACAGCGUAUCGUAAACCUCUUUUGCCGGGGAGCAAAAAGCGGUACGCGUACCGCAUCGAGAGUACCCGGAGAAAAAGCAUCGGCUAACUCCGUGCCAGCAGCCGCGGUAAUACGGAGGAUGCGAGCGUUAUCCGGAUUUAUUGGGUUUAAAGGGUGCGCAGGCGGCGAGUUAAGUCAGCGGUAAAAUUUCGGGGCUCAACCCCGACAAGCCGUUGAAACUGGCGUGCUAGAGUGGGCGAGAAGUAUGCGGAAUGCGUGGUGUGGCGGUGAAAUGCAUAGAUAUCACGCAGAACUCCGAUUGCGAAGGCAGCAUACCGGCGCCCAACUGACGCUCAGGCACGAAAGCGUGGGUAUCGAACAGGAUUAGAUACCCUUGUAGUC
RNAcentral lists this ribosomal RNA (459 nucleotides) under uncultured bacterium. Its description in RNAcentral is "partial 16S ribosomal RNA". It matches the Rfam family "Bacterial small subunit ribosomal RNA", at positions 338 to 795 of the family's 1533-position model. The record is from RNAcentral.